Molecule: long non-coding RNA, 740 nt
Filed under: Piliocolobus tephrosceles (Ugandan red Colobus)
Lineage: Eukaryota; Metazoa; Chordata; Mammalia; Primates; Cercopithecidae
Description: lncRNA (ENSPTEG00000010907.1)
Source: RNAcentral
GGGAACUCAAGCACUAAGCCUCUGGCCCCGCCAGGGCGUACGAAUCCUUUGCUCGUUUAUCCAGUAUUAAGUCAUGCUGUGUGCUAAGUGCCGUGGCCAGGCAGCAGCUGCACAACGAGCUGAAGUAAAAUAGAGAACUAAGGAAGAAUGGGGGACCCCAAAGCCAACUUGGUGACAUCACACGCCGGAGUGGGACCCACGGUCCCCGGCCACAGCUCAGAGGGGCGGGACCGCCCGGUCCGGGGCGGGGCCAGGGCGGGGCCUGUCACUAGGGAAACCGCCCUCCUAGUAUCCGCGCGCGGCGGUUGAGCUGCGCCCGGCGAGGCAACAGCCUGCGAACGCCAGUUAGGGGAGGGGCGUCUCGGAGACCCAGAGACACCAAGGCCCCUGCGACGAGGUGGCUGCCGCUAGGGGGCGUCAGGACGACGGACCGGGUUCGAGUUGGGCCCGCCCUUUCCGCCCCCGCCCCAGGCCCUUGCACAUCGGCAUUCGCGUCGGAGAGCGGGAAAGAAGCAGUGGCCAAGGCGCCGAUUUUAUUUGGAGAGAAGCAAGCAUCUUUGCCUCUUUGGAGUAGGAAAUUCAGACUUGAAAAAGUGGUGUGUGGUUGACUCUGUUUCUCGCCAUGUCUUCUCACAAGACUUUCACCAUUAAGCGAUUCCUGGCCAAGAAACAAAAGCAAAAUCGUCCCAUCCCCCAGUGGAUUCAGAUGAAACCUGGUAAUAAAAUCAAGUACAACUCCA